UCGUCAAACUUUUAUGACCCCCUCCCCCACCCGGUGACAGUUGCUAUCUGACAGGUCGUUUUUAUGACCCUUUGACAGGGGGGCGGGACCAUCAAUCAAAAUCUGGACAAGCUGUCAACUUUAGACAGAAAGUAUUUAAUGGUUUUAUUGCCGGUCAUUUAGAGUGAUUGUUUUUCCUGAGUGUGUUUUAUGUCACGCGUAUGCAGUCAUGUUUAAGGACGGCUCGUGUUUCGACAUUUACUGUUUAUUGACAUUUGAUGUCAGACCUCAACCAUCCUCCCACCUUUGCUCGCCCCGUGCGCUUCUCAAUACUGACUUUCACACCGCGGGUGUGUUGUUGAAUCUAAAGUUUUGCAACAGCAUAAGUUUAUUUAAAGGCAAUCACUAAUCAUAUAUAUAUAUAUAUAUUAGAUGUACCAGGCUACGCUUAAAGCCGAUGUUUUCUAUCGAGCUAUAGUUUCUGAUCAGACACAAAGUCUGAACUAAAUAAAAUUUUAAACGGUUCACAAAGUCCGGGAAUCUUUUCAUGACCUGGUCUACAGUUUCACGCGUAUUAAAGAUCCGGCGGUGUCUGACAAAGCCUCGGGUGAUUGUUCAUAUCUGUCAUUUAAAAUAAAGUUAAUAAAUGUAAUUCUGUCCACUAUGGCAAAAUAGGAAUUUAUUUUAGAUUUAGGGGAAUCUUUAACCAUGUCUCUGAUUAAAACUUUUGAUUGUAACAUCACAAGUUAUUUAAUUAAAUAUUCCGUAUACGGGUAUAGUUUAAGCAAUGAUCUGAGCCAUAACCUUCGGAGCCGGCAAUACUAUAAUCUUUAGACGAAAGUCUAAACUAAAUACAAUUUUAAACGGUUCAUGAGGUCCGUGAAUCUUUUCAUGACCUGCUCUAUAGUUUCACGCAUAUUAAAGAUCCGUAGGUGCAUGACAAAGCGCCGGGUGAACGGUCAUAUCUGCCAUUUUAAAAUAAAGUUAAUAAAUGUAAUUCUGUCCACUAUGGCAAAAUAGGAUUUUAUUUUAGAUUUACGGGAAACUUUAACCAAGUCUCUGAUUAAGACAUGUGUAUACACAGAUGGUGACAGAGAAACUUAUAUAUGACGUUAAUAAUCUUUUAAAUGUUUUUAAGACGUAUUCACCCCAUUUUGGGGUUUUAUUUUUAAUUAAAGGCUUCUUAAAACAUGUGUGAAUAUGUGUAUAUUAUACAAAGAGUCUUAUAUUGUCUGCUCUGACAAAAAUAAAGUAUUUUUUUAGGUUUAGGGGAAUUGACUGCGUGUGUCUUAUAAAUACAACUUGAUAAUACGUUUGUUUUGUAAAGAGACUUCUUUAAAGUCACGCAAGAAUAAAAUAUUUUAGUUGUAACUGGUUAAACUUAAAGCCGAUAUUUUCUAUCGAACUAGUCUAUUUUCUGUUCAGACACAAAGUUUUCUGAUGCUGAUAUUAUGUCAGUGUGUGUUUGUGUGGGGGUCGUGUGAUGUAAUCUUUGAAAGUUUAUGACCGAACCUUUAUUGGGGAGCGACAAGAGAUCUCCCGGAAUCAGGUUGGAUGGAGCAGAGCUGUUAUACUCAAGUCUAUUGGUAUGUAUGUGUUUCGCUGUGUUCGUUCCAGUAUUUUGUAUGAUUUAUUUAAAAACUAAAAAUUCGAUCUCUGGUAUUGCAGCGAAAUUGUCUAAACUGGUAUUAACUAUUCCUGGUAAAUCGCGGAGAAGAGUGGCCUGAACAAAAAAGUCAGACCGAGACUAGAACCACCCGCAGCGUAACACGGAAAUCUUGGAACAAAAGAGACGCCGACUGGCUCGUGUUGUCCGGUUUGGAUAUCAGAGGCAAAACGAACGUUGUGUGUACUAUUGCAAAAUAUAUAGCGGAUCUCCACGGUUAGGAUACAGACCACAACGCUUUGGACGUAUCUUUAAAAAAGAGAAAAAUCGGAGACUUUUUGGAUUUGUCUGGGACAUUUUAAACAUUUUGUGGCAAAUUGGAUUUAAAACGUUUCGGAUACUGGAUACAUGUGUCGGAUUUGUCCACAGUGCUUGUUUAAGACGUCUUCACCUCAUUUUAGGGUUUAUUUUUAAUUAAAGGCUUCUUAAAACAUGUGUGAAAAUGUGUAUAUUAUACAAAGAGUCUUAUAUUGUCUGCUCUGACAAAAAAAAAUAAAUUAUUAUUUUAGAUUUUAGGACAAAUGUCUGCGUGUAUCUUAUAAAUACAACUUGAUAAUACGUUUGUUUUGUCAAGAGACUUUUUUAAAGUCACGCAAGAAUAAAAUAUUUUAGUUGUAACUGGUUAUACUUAAAUCUGUUAUUAUCUAUUUAACUAUAAGCUAUAAUUUUCUGAUAAGCCUUAAACAGAAGCUGCGCUGUGAGCGUCUGGGUGUUUGAGAUAAUUCACAUUAGGGGGCUGCUUGUAAACUAGUGUCUUUUAAAACCGCCGUGGUAAUAUGUAAUAUGGUAACUCUGUCAAAAAGUAAAAGGUUUAUUUUAGAUCACACCCUAUUUUAUGGCAAACAAUGCAGUAUCUAAAAGUUUGUAACAACACAAUUUUAUUUAAUGAAAUAUUCAGCAUGGGUAUAGCAAUGAACUGUGCCAAAACCACCGGGGGCCGCCAAUAACACAGUCUUUAGGUUAAGGCUUUUUAUUUUUAACUAAAUAAAAUCUUAAUCUUUUCAUGCACAAUAUUCUGUUCACACCAUUAGAUUGCGGUCCUGCGCUUGCAAUAGAGAACAUAAGCGGAUGCGUGUUCAUAUCCAUACGUUAAGAAAUCGUCCAUAUGUCAAUUCAUCUUCUGGGGUUUGUUUUAAAAAAAAAAAAUGACACAUUAAAAUCAACUGUGAAUAUGUGUUUAUUACACAAUAAAAUGUAAUUCUGUUCGCACCGGUAUAAUAGGGGUUUUAUUUUAGAUUUGGGACUUUCUUUAACCAAGUCUCUGAUUAAAACACGUGAAUGCGUGUACCAAA
Long non-coding RNA from Paramisgurnus dabryanus, 2937 nucleotides. RefSeq lists it as uncharacterized. NCBI's taxonomy places the organism in Eukaryota, Metazoa, Chordata, Actinopteri, Cypriniformes, Cobitidae. The record is from RefSeq and is a predicted model, not a curated record.